Molecule: ribosomal RNA, 467 nt
Filed under: uncultured bacterium
Lineage: Bacteria
Description: partial 16S ribosomal RNA
Rfam family: Bacterial small subunit ribosomal RNA
Source: RNAcentral
GACGAACGCUGGCGGCGUGCUUAACACAUGCAAGUCGAACGGAAAGGCCCUGCUUUUGUGGGGUGCUCGAGUGGCGAACGGGUGAGUAACACGUGAGUAACCUGCCCUUGACUUUGGGAUAACUUCAGGAAACUGGGGCUAAUACCGGAUAGGAGCUCCUGCUGCAUGGUGGGGGUUGGAAAGUUUCGGCGGUUGGGGAUGGACUCGCGGCUUAUCAGCUUGUUGGUGGGGUAGUGGCUUACCAAGGCUUUGACGGGUAGCCGGCCUGAGAGGGUGACCGGCCACAUUGGGACUGGGAUACGGCCCAGACUCCUACGGGAGGCAGCAGUGGGGAAUAUGGCACAAUGGGCGGAGGCCUGAUGCAGCAACGCCCGUGCGGGAUGACGGCCUUCGGGUUGUAAACCGCUUUCGCCUGUGACGAAGCGUGAGUGACGGUAAUGGGUAAAGAAGCGCCGGCUAACUACGUG